This is a non-coding RNA of Caenorhabditis elegans, 138 nucleotides long. NCBI's taxonomy places the organism in Eukaryota, Metazoa, Nematoda, Chromadorea, Rhabditida, Rhabditidae. The record is from Ensembl.
UGUACCGGUAAAUUGCGUAUUCCAUCGCAUUCAUACCUCUUUCUCUCUUUUUCUUUUCCAGGGGUCCUCUGCCUGCUUAUUCUCUCAGUUUCCUGUGCGGAAUAAAAUCGGAGAGGGCGGAGUCUCCGCCAUGCGGGG